GCAGUCGGAGGUGCACAGAGAGCUUGCUCUUGGGUGACGAGUGGCGGACGGGUGAGUAAUGUCUGGGGAUCUGCCCGAUAGAGGGGGAUAACCACUGGAAACGGUGGCUAAUACCGCAUAACGUCGCAAGACCAAAGAGGGGGACCUUCGGGCCUCUCACUAUCGGAUGAACCCAGAUGGGAUUAGCUAGUAGGCGGGGUAAUGGCCCACCUAGGCGACGAUCCCUAGCUGGUCUGAGAGGAUGACCAGCCACACUGGAACUGAGACACGGUCCAGACUCCUACGGGAGGCAGCAGUGGGGAAUAUUGCACAAUGGGCGCAAGCCUGAUGCAGCCAUGCCGCGUGUAUGAAGAAGGCCUUCGGGUUGUAAAGUACUUUCAGCGGGGAGGAAGGCGACGGGGU
Molecule: ribosomal RNA, 402 nt
Filed under: Pantoea eucalypti
Lineage: Bacteria; Pseudomonadati; Pseudomonadota; Gammaproteobacteria; Enterobacterales; Erwiniaceae
Description: bacterial SSU rRNA
Rfam family: Bacterial small subunit ribosomal RNA
Source: RNAcentral